RNAcentral lists this ribosomal RNA (445 nucleotides) under uncultured bacterium. Its description in RNAcentral is "partial 16S ribosomal RNA". It matches the Rfam family "Bacterial small subunit ribosomal RNA", at positions 354 to 796 of the family's 1533-position model. The record is from RNAcentral.
GUGAGGAAUAUUGGUCAAUGGGCGAGAGCCUGAACCAGCCAAGUCGCGUGAAGGAAGAAGGAUCUAUGGUUCGUAAACUUCUUUUGCAGGGGAAUAAAGUACGGUACGUGUACCGUUUUGUAUGUACUCUGCGAAUAAGGAUCGGCUAACUCCGUGCCAGCAGCCGCGGUAAUACGGAGGAUCCAAGCGUUAUCCGGAUUUAUUGGUUUUAAAGGGUGCGCAGGCGGGUUGAUAAGUCAGCGGUGAAAGUUUGCAGCUUAACUGUAAAAUUGCCGUUGAAACUGUCGAUCUUGAGUGCAAAUGAGGUAAGCGGAAUGUGUUGUGUAGCGGUGAAAUGCUUAGAUAUAACACAGAACACCGAUUGCGAAGGCAGCUUACUGGGAUGCAACUGACGCUCAUGCACGAAAGCGUGGGGAUCAAACAGGAUUAGAUACCCCGGUAGUCC